CCCUGAUGCACAAGGUACCUAAAAUGUACUAUCACAAUUUUAAAUUUUUAAAAAUUUUCAUUUUUCCUUUACAGUAAAUAAAUUAAAUUUUUCUUUAUAAUAUACAAAAAAUUAAAUAUAAUUUUAUUUUUUUUAUCUUAAAAAAUUUUUAUUUUUUAUUAAAAAAAU
This 168-nucleotide ribosomal RNA is filed under the name Ixodes ricinus (castor bean tick). RNAcentral describes it as "partial 16S ribosomal RNA". The record is from RNAcentral. Lineage: Eukaryota; Metazoa; Arthropoda; Arachnida; Ixodida; Ixodidae.